GCUUACGACCACACCGGCCUGAGUACGCCUGAUCUCGUCUCAUCUCGGAAGCUAAGCAGGGUCGGGCCUGGUUAGUACUUGGAUGGAAGACCGCCUGGGAAUACCAGGUGCUGUAAGCU
Molecule: ribosomal RNA, 119 nt
Filed under: Oncorhynchus kisutch (coho salmon)
Lineage: Eukaryota; Metazoa; Chordata; Actinopteri; Salmoniformes; Salmonidae
Source: RNAcentral